RNAcentral lists this unclassified non-coding RNA (379 nucleotides) under Bacillus sp. (in: firmicutes). Its description in RNAcentral is "Bacillus sp. (in: Bacteria) contains 16S-23S intergenic spacer region". Lineage: Bacteria; Bacillati; Bacillota; Bacilli; Caryophanales; Bacillaceae. The record is from RNAcentral.
UCCGGUUUAUCACCGGCAGUCACCUUAGAGUGCCCAACUUAAUGCUGGCAACUAAGAUCAAGGGUUGCGCUCGUUGCGGGACUUAACCCAACAUCUCACGACACGAGCUGACGACAACCAUGCACCACCUGUCACUUUGUCCCCCGAAGGGGAAAGCCCUAUCUCUAGGGUUAUCAAAGGAUGUCAAGACCUGGUAAGGUUCUUCGCGUUGCUUCGAAUUAAACCACAUGCUCCACUGCUUGUGCGGGCCCCCGUCAAUUCCUUUGAGUUUCAACCUUGCGGUCGUACUCCCCAGGCGGAGUGCUUAAUGUGUUAACUUCGGCACUAAGGGCAUCGAAACCCCUAACACCUAGCACUCAUCGUUUACGGCGUGGACUAC